AUGCUGGGACAGUCCUUUCAAGAAACCCUCCAAAAUCUUCAAACCCUGACUCAGCUCCUCCUUCCAGAAGAAGGCUGAGGCUUCUGUGUCUCAUACACAUGUGGGGCAUCUCAAAGGUGGCUGCUUCCUCUUCCCUCCUCCACAUUCUUCCUGAAUCCUGAGUCUCCAAGGAAGAUUGCUCACUCCUCCAGGACUCCAGGGUGUUCAGGCCACAUCAGUCUAGGGCUGUGUGAGUUUCCUGGAGCUGCUAUAACAAGUGACCACAAUCUGGGUGGCUUAAAACCACAGACUUUUAUUGUCUCACAGUUCUGGAGGCUGGAAGUCCAAAAUCAAGAUGUUGGCAGGGCUGGUUCCCUCCGAGAUCUGUGAGGAGAAUCUGUCCCAGGCCUCUGCUUAGCUUCUGGUGGUUUCCUGGCAACCUUUGGCAUCCUGUGGCUUCUAGAUGGAUCAUCCAGUUCUCUGCCCUCAUGUUCACAUGGUGCUGUUUAUGUAUGUCUGUAUCCAAAUUUCCCUCUUCUUGUAAUGACAUCAGUCAUAUUGGAUUAAGCAUCCACUCUUUUCCAGUCUGACCUCAUCUUAAUUUAACUAAUUACACCUAC
This 599-nucleotide long non-coding RNA is filed under the name Homo sapiens (human). Its description in RNAcentral is "HSALNT0026138". The record is from RNAcentral. Lineage: Eukaryota; Metazoa; Chordata; Mammalia; Primates; Hominidae.